Molecule: RNA transcript, 4474 nt
Organism: Myotis lucifugus (little brown bat)
Lineage: Eukaryota; Metazoa; Chordata; Mammalia; Chiroptera; Vespertilionidae
Gene: RB1CC1
Gene name: RB1 inducible coiled-coil 1
Exons: 12
Source: RefSeq, a predicted model, not a curated record
UCUGGCCGGAGCCGCCUUUCUGCCUUCCCAUGCUGCCCAGAGGUCUGGAGUGGCUGGGGGGGUGCGGAACGCCUGCAAGCAUUCCGCCCUGUCCCCGGGCACUUGGCACCUGUGUAUGCAAAUUAACCUGCCAUCUUUGUUGGGUUAAUUUGCAUACUUACUCCUGAUUGGCUGGUGGGCGUCGCGAAGACACAGAAACCUCGAAAGUUUGACUGUGAGCUUCCAGAUAUUUCAUUAAAAGAUUUACAGUUUCUGCAAUCACUUUGUCCUUCAGAAGUUCAGCCAUUCCUCAGGGUCCCCUUACUCUGUGACUUUGAACCUCUACACCAGCAUGUACUUUCUCUACAUAACUUGGUAAAAGCAGCACAAAGUUUGGAUGAAAUGUCACAGACCAUUACAGAUCUACUGAGUGAACAAAAGGCAUCCAUGAGUCAGACAUCCCCACAGUCGACUUCCUCACCAAGAGUAGAAAGUGCAACAGGAAUUACAACAACUACCUCACCAAGAACUCCUCCUCCACUCACUGUGCAGGAUCCCUUAUGUCCUGCAGUAUGUCCCUUAGAAGAAUUGUCUCCAGAUAGCAUUGAUGCACAUACAUUUGAUUUUGAAACUAUCCCCCAUCCAAACAGAGAACAGACUAUUCACCAAGUUUCAUUAGAUUUGGAUUCAUUAGCAGAAAGUCCUGAAUCAGAUUUUAUGUCUGCUGUGAAUGAGUUUGUAAUAGAAGAAAAUUUAUCAUCUCCUAAUCCUAUAAGUGAUCCACAAAGUCCAGAAAUGAUGGUGGAAUCACUUUAUUCAUCAGUUAUCAAUGCAAUAGAUAGUAGACGUAUGCAGGAUACAAAUAUAUGUGGUAAAGAGGACUCAGGAGAUCAUGUGUCUCUAAAUGUCCAGUUGGAAAAAUGUAGGGUUGUUGCCCAAGACUCACAAUUAACUAUACAAACCAUCAAGGAAGACCUUUGCCACUUCAGAACAUUUGUACAGAAAGAACAGUGUGACUUCUCAAAUUCUUUAAAGUGUAUAGCAAUAGAAAUAAGAAACAUUAUUGAAAAGGUAAAAUACUCUGUGGAAAUAACACUAAAUGAAAAACAUCAGAAAGAAUUGCAGUCUUUAAAAAGUGAUUAUGAAGACAAACUUGUUGCACUAAUAAAAGACAGUGAAGAAAAUGAAAACAAAAUUAAAAAGCUUAAAGGAGACUUAGUAUGCCUUGAGGAGGUGUUACAAAAUAAAGAUAAUGAAUUUGCUUUGGUUAAGCAUGAAAAAGAAGCUAUCAUCUGCCUGCAGAAUGAAAAGGACCAGAAGUUGUUAGAAAUGGAAAACGUAAUGCACACUCAAAAUUGUGAAAUUAAAGAACUGAAGGAGUCACGAGAGAGAGUGUUAAAAGACUUUAAAAAGCUCCAUGUUGAAAAUGAUGAGAAGAUCCAGUUGUUGAGGACAGAACUGCAGAGCUUAGAGCAAAGUCAUUUAAGGGAAUUAGAGGACACCCUGCAUGUCAGGCACACACAGGAGUUCGAGAAAGUUAUGACAGACCACAAAGAUUCUUUGGAGAAAUUAAAAAAUGAAAAUCAACAAAGAAUUGAUCAGAUACAAGAGUCCCAUGCCACAAUUAUCCAGGAAAAAGAGCGACAGCUACAGGAGUUAAAACUCAAGGUUUCAGAUUUGUCGGAUAUGAGAUGUAAGUUAGAGGUUGAACUUGCAUUGAAGGAAGCAGAAACUGAUGAAAUAAAAAUUUUGCUGGAAGAAAGUAGAACCCAGCAGAAUGAGACCUUAAAAUCUCUCCUUGAACAAGAGACGGAAAAUUUGAGAACAGAGAUAAGUAAACUAAACCAAAAGAUUCAGGAUAACAAUGACAAUUAUCAGGUGGGCUUGGCAGAGCUAAGAACUUUAAUGACAAUUGAAAAAGAUCAGUGUAUUUCAGAGUUAAUUAGUAGACAUGAAGAAGAAUCUAAUAUGCUUAAAGCUGAAUUAAACCAGGUAACAGCAUUGCAUCAUCAAGCAUUUGAAAUAGAAAAAAACCUGAAAGAAGAAAUAGUUGAACUGCAGGGUAAAUUGGACUCUGCAUUGAGUGCGCUUGAAAAACAAAAAGCUGAAAAACUCACCCAACAAGAAGAGAAGUAUGAAGCUGUUAUCCAGAAACUUGAGAAAGACAAAGAGAAAUUCAUAAUGAACCAGGAACAAGACAGAGAAGAGUUAAUUCAGAAGCUUAAUAGUGAAAAAGAAGAAGCUAUUCAGACGGCCCUAAAUGAAUUUAAAUUGGAGAGAGAAGCUGUUGAGAAAGAGUUAUUAGAAAAAGUUAAACAUCUUGAGAAUCAAAUAGGAAAAAGUUCUGCCAUUGAAUCUACCAGAGAAGAUUCUUCAAGCCUGGUUGCUGAACUUCAAGAAAAGCUUCAGGAAGAAAAAGCUAAGUUUUUAGAACAACUUGAAGAACAAGAGAAAAGAAAAAAUGAAGAAAUGCAAAAUGUUCGAACAUCUUUGAUUGCUGAACAGCAGACCAACUUUAACACUGUUUUAACAAGAGAGAAAAUGAGAAAAGAAAACAUAAUUAAUGAUCUUAGUGAUAAGUUGAAAAGUACAAUACAGCAGCAAGAGCGAGAUAAAGAUUUGAUAGAGUCCCUAUCUGAAGAUCGAGCUCGCUUGCUGGAAGAAAAGAAAAAACUUGAGGAAGAAGUCAGUAAGCUGCGUGGUAGCAGUUUUGUACCUUCACCGUAUGUAGCGACAGCCCCAGAACUUUAUGGAGCUUGUGCACCUGAACUCCCAGGUGAAACGGAGAAGUCAGCCAUCGAAACACAAGAUGAAGGAAGAGUGGACUCAGCAAUGGAGACAAGCAUGAUGUCCGUACAAGAAAACAUCCAUAUGCUAUCUGAAGAAAAACAGAGGAUAAUGCUGUUAGAACGAACAUUACAAUUAAAAGAAGAAGAAAACAAGCGGUUAAAUCAAAGACUGAUGUCUCAGAGCAUGUCUUCAGUAUCCUCAAGGCAUUCUGAAAAGAUAGCUAUUCGAGACUUCAGGUGUAUCUAGAAGACCCUGGGUUCUUGGAAAAGUAAUGGAAAAGGAAUACUGUCAAGCCAAAAAGGCACAAAACAGAUUUAAAGUUCCUUUGGGAACAAAGUUUUACAGAGUGAAAGCUGUGUCGUGGAAUAAGAAAGUAUAACUUGGAAGAAAUUAAUACAUUCUGUGACAUUUUCCUGAUUUAUCCUACAGUGUUCAUUCAUCACUCCAAAAACAGCAAGCCAUCUUUUUAUACAAAAGUCAGCGUGACAAUAUGCUUCACUGGUGUACAUCAUUUACUUUUUAACUGGCUACAUACCCUUUAGAACAAUAAAUUUAACAAGACAUUUGGCUGAAUUAAAAUGGUUUUGGUUUUGGUUUUGUUUUUAUCCAAAUGAAAUGCGGACCAAACUCGUUCAUUUUUCAAAGGGCAUACCCUGUGCAUUGUGGCUUAUGAUUAGCCAUAUUAAUUGCCUGUUACAUAUACAUUAGCUUGAACUUAGAUAGUAAAUGUUAGUUGUUAUUACCAGCAUUUGUCCUUUUGUGAAAUCAGUAUCAAAAACUUGCACUCUGAACACAUUCUUUAUAAAAUGUAUAAAUUCUUCAAAACUAUUUAAAGAAAGAGGAGUGUUAUUGCAUGCAGAUAAUCAUAAUUUUGAGUUUGCCUCUGUAGAUUACUAAAGCAAAUUGUUUCAUUUAUUUUUUUAAUGCCCUUUGAUGUUUCAAAACAAAAAGGAACUCAAUUUGAUUGAUUGAUUUUUAAGAUCAGCCAUAAUUAUCAGUCUUUAAAAGCACUUUCAACAGAUCGGUCGCUUGGGUUCUAAAGGGAAGAGUCUGUGCUAUUGACACUUUAAAUGCAGCACGGAAACCUUCCCAACAUCUUUAUUAUUCUGUUAAGAAUAAUUAUAUUGAUGAAAUUAUAAUUCAUGGUUCCGUUUCAGAAAAAACAUAUUCAUUGUACAUUAACUGUUUAGAGGUCAUUUAAAUAACAAAAUAUUGUAUUGUAAAAGACAUGUAGAAUUUUAAAACAAUAAAGAUUUGAACCUGUAAAUGUGUGUGCCUUUUAAGAAGGAUACCUUUUUAAUAUAUUUGAGUGCUUGCGGGAGAUGGGAAAAACUUGUUCUGUAUUAUAUCAAAAGAAACAUGUUAAUUACAAAAAUGUUCUUUAAUUAUAUACUAUGUAACAGGGUAAAACAGUGUUAUGUAGAAUAGAGUUGUGUAAACUAAACUAGAAUUUUAAACAAAUUGCCAUGGAGCAAAGGUAUUUAAAUGAAUUAGUUGAGUUGGAUGAAACUUGUUUCAGGUUUGUUGCUAUAGAGAACAAUAAAUAAAAUGAUUUUCCCCCCAGAAAAUAUUUAAUUUCUUCAUAAAAAUAAGUUAAAUAUUUUUUUAAAUAUGUAUGUCUAAUAGUACAGAAAAUGGAAUAAACACCAUAGUGUAUAGAAAACUGAAUUUGACAUAUUAAUGAAUAAAUGAACAAAUGACUUAA